UACAGAGGCCUCGAGCGUUAGGCGGAAUCACUGGGCUUAAAGCGUGUGUAGGCGGACUUCUAAGUACCUUGUGAAAUCCCACGGCUUACCCGUGGAACUGCUGGGUAUACUGGUUGUCUUGAGCCACUUAGGGGCUACCGGAACAAAUGGUGGAGCGGUGAAAUGCGUAGAUAUCAUUUGGAACGCCAAUGGUGAAAACAGGUAGCUGGGAGUGUGCUGACGCUGAGACACGAAAGCCAGGGGAGCGAACGGG
This 253-nucleotide ribosomal RNA is filed under the name uncultured bacterium. RNAcentral describes it as "partial 16S ribosomal RNA". It matches the Rfam family "Bacterial small subunit ribosomal RNA", at positions 524 to 776 of the family's 1533-position model. The record is from RNAcentral.